UGAGGAAUAUUGGUCAAUGGACGCAAGUCUGAACCAGCCAAGUAGCGUGCAGGAUGACGGCCCUAUGGGUCGUAAACUGCUUUUAUAUGGGGAUAAAGUGGGGAACGUGUUCCCUUUUGCAGGUACCAUAUGAAUAAGGACCGGCUAAUUCCGUGCCAGCAGCCGCGGUAAUACGGAAGGUCCGAGCGUUGUCCGGAAUCAUUGGGCGUAAAGGGUACGUAGGCGGGUAAGCAAGUUAGAAGUGAAAUCCUGUAGCUCAACUACAGUAAGCUUUUAAAACUGCUCAUCUUGAGAUAUGGAAGGGAAAGUGGAAUUCCUAGUGUAGCGGUGAAAUGCGCAGAUAUUAGGAGGAAUACCGGUGGCGAAGGCGACUUUCUGGCCAUAAUCUGACGCUGAGGUACGAAAGCGUGGGUAGCAAACAGG
This 423-nucleotide ribosomal RNA is filed under the name Verrucomicrobiota bacterium. RNAcentral describes it as "Verrucomicrobia bacterium partial 16S ribosomal RNA". It matches the Rfam family "Bacterial small subunit ribosomal RNA", at positions 355 to 776 of the family's 1533-position model. The record is from RNAcentral. Lineage: Bacteria; Pseudomonadati; Verrucomicrobiota.